This 397-nucleotide ribosomal RNA is filed under the name Limosilactobacillus mucosae. Its description in RNAcentral is "bacterial SSU rRNA". It matches the Rfam family "Bacterial small subunit ribosomal RNA", at positions 383 to 774 of the family's 1533-position model. The record is from RNAcentral. Lineage: Bacteria; Bacillati; Bacillota; Bacilli; Lactobacillales; Lactobacillaceae.
CUGAUGGAGCACACCGCGUGAGUGAGAAGGGUUUCGGCUCGUAAAGCUCUGUUGUUAGAGAAGAACGUGCGUGAGAGCAACUGUUCACGCAGUGACGGUAUCUAACCAGAAAGUCACGGCUAACUACGUGCCAGCAGCCGCGGUAAUACGUAGGUGGCAAGCGUUAUCCGGAUUUAUUGGGCGUAAAGCGAGCGCAGGCGGUUUGAUAAGUCUGAUGUGAAAGCCUUUGGCUUAACCAAAGAAGUGCAUCGGAAACUGUCAGACUUGAGUGCAGAAGAGGACAGUGGAACUCCAUGUGUAGCGGUGGAAUGCGUAGAUAUAUGGAAGAACACCAGUGGCGAAGGCGGCUGUCUGGUCUGCAACUGACGCUGAGGCUCGAAAGCAUGGGUAGCGAACA